CUGCAGAGAUGACGACCCUGAACUCUCUCUUUCCGACCCACACAUGGAGAAACCCCUUCACAACCCUCUGAGCAGC
RNAcentral lists this small nucleolar RNA (76 nucleotides) under Pavo cristatus (Indian peafowl). RNAcentral's name for it is "Small nucleolar RNA SNORD26 (ENSPSTG00000016890.1)". It matches the Rfam family "Small nucleolar RNA SNORD26". Rfam says of the family: U26 is a member of the C/D class of snoRNA which contain the C (UGAUGA) and D (CUGA) box motifs. U26 is encoded within the U22 snoRNA host gene (UHG) in mammals and is thought to act as a 2'-O-ribose methylation guide for ribosomal RNA. Lineage: Eukaryota; Metazoa; Chordata; Aves; Galliformes; Phasianidae. The record is from Rfam by way of RNAcentral.